RNAcentral lists this ribosomal RNA (1474 nucleotides) under uncultured Aeromicrobium sp. Its description in RNAcentral is "bacterial SSU rRNA". It matches the Rfam family "Bacterial small subunit ribosomal RNA". The record is from RNAcentral. Lineage: Bacteria; Bacillati; Actinomycetota; Actinomycetes; Propionibacteriales; Nocardioidaceae.
AGAGUUUGAUCAUGGCUCAGGGUGAACGCUGGCGACGUGCCUAAAACAUGCAAGUCGAGCGGAGUCUUCGGGCUCAGCGGCGAACGGCGGAGUAAUGCAUAAGUAACGUGCCUCAAAGACUGGGAUAGCCAGCCGAAAGGCUGAGUAAUACCAGAUGUGGUUUCCAAUUGGCAUCUUUUGAAAACUAAACGGAUUUAUUCACUUUGAGAGCGACUUGUGUUCUAUCAGCUUGUUGGUAGGGUAAAAGCUUACCAAGGCUAUGACGGAUAGGGGGUCUGAGAGGAUGAUCCCCCCGAGUGGGACUGAGACACGGCCCACACACCUACGGGUGGCAGCAGUUAGGAAUCUUGCACAAUGGGGGAAACCCUGAUGCAGCGACGCCGCGUGGAGGAUGACGGCCUUAGGGUUGUAAACUCCUUUUUGCAGGAAAGACUUAGGACGGUACCUGCAGAAUAAGCUCCGGCUAACUACGUGCCAGCAGCCGCGGUAAGACGUAGGGAGCAAGCGUUACCCGGAUUUACUGGGCGUAAAGGGCGCGUAGGCGGCUUGUUAAGUGAAAAGUGAAAUCUCUGAGCUCAACUCAGAACGUGCUUCUCAUACUGACAGGCUAGAGGAAUACAGAAGUGAAUGGAAUUCCCGGUGUAGCGGUGACAUGCAUUGAUAUCGGGAGGAACACCAGCGGCGAAGGCGGUUCACUGGGUAUUACCUGACGCUGAUGCGCGAAAGCGUGGGGAGCAAACAGAAUUAGAUACUCUGGUAGUCCACGCUGUAAACGAUGGAUACUAGACGGUGGAAGAAUAAACUUUUUCUCUGUCGUAGCUAACGCAUUAAGUAUCCCGCCUAGGGAGUACGACCGCAAGGUUGAAACUCAAAUGAAUUGACGGGGACCCGCACAAGCGGUGGAGCAUGUGGAUUAAUUCGAUAAUAACCGAAGAACCUUACCCAGGUUUGACAUUGCGGGUAAUCUGCAGAAAUGUAGUCCUCUAUCCAAAAGAUAGACCCAAAAACAUCUGUUGCAUGGCUGUCGUCAGCUCGUGCCGUGAGGUGUUUGGUUAAGUCCAGCAACGAGCGCAACCCUCGUUCUAUGUUACCAGCGAGUAAUGUCGGGGACUCAUAGAAGACUGCCGGUGUAAGCCGGAGGAAGGUGGGGAUGAUGUCAAGUCAGCAUGGCGAUUACACCUGGGGCUUCACACAUGCUACAAUGGGCGAAACAAUGAGCAGCAAUACCGUGAGGUGGAGCUAAUCUCAAAAAUACGUCCUCAGUUCAGAUUGUAGUCUGCAAUUCGACUACAUGAAGGCGGAAUCGCUAGUAAACGCAGGUCAGCUAUACUGCGUUGAAUACGUUCUCGGGUCUUGUACACACCGCCCGUCAAGUCAACCGAAUUGUUUGCACCCGAAGCCAGUGGCCCAACCGUAAGGAGGGAGCUGUCUAAGGUGUGGGGAGUAAGGGGGACUAAGUCGUAACAAGGUAACC